RNAcentral lists this long non-coding RNA (281 nucleotides) under Elaeis guineensis (African oil palm). RNAcentral describes it as "long non-coding RNA (EGUI_LNC002917)". The record is from RNAcentral. Lineage: Eukaryota; Viridiplantae; Streptophyta; Magnoliopsida; Arecales; Arecaceae.
AGGUAGAUAUAUCUCUCCGAAUGAGGUCAUUCAGUACAUAGCUACAGACAUCUCCAAUCCUAACUUUAGCCCCCGGUGAUCAUUACACCUGGCGAUCUUUCUAAGCAGAACACCUGAGUCCAACUGGUCCUCACUUUGGUUUGUGACCAAGACUCUACCAACCGAUCUCAAUCCCUGUAGUAGGCUAAUGGACAGAUCGAUCUCCAACUUUGGCGGUAGAUGGCAGGUAUACUUUGGCCCCUAUCGAUCAUUAUCCCAGUGAAUAUAACUGGCCCUAGCCG